Long non-coding RNA from Argiope bruennichi, 511 nucleotides. RefSeq lists it as uncharacterized. The transcript has 2 exons. The record is from RefSeq and is a predicted model, not a curated record. NCBI's taxonomy places the organism in Eukaryota, Metazoa, Arthropoda, Arachnida, Araneae, Araneidae.
AAUUUCUUAUUUUCUCUAACGUAUCAAAUGGUCAAUCCUCCCGGAUUGGCUGGAGAUACGGAGGUCAUCUGAUUUGUAUCCUUUGUUCAGGAAUGUAAAAUGAACUUAAAUGUGCUGAUUUUUUCUUUCUAAUUCAGUGAAUAGUUUAUUUUAAAGAAAUCUUAAUUAUAUUUGGGUUUUUUAAAGUUUGCUUUUGAAUUCUUUUUUCUUCCUCUUUUUAACAAACUAAGAUGAUUGCAGUUCUACUUUGAAAGAAGUGAAAUAAUUAUCUUGAAGAAAGGUAGCAAAGAAGGAACAGGAAGUGACCUGUACUAUCUUGUAACCACAAAUGACUUCACCUAGCUAUCAGAGGAAAGAAUGGAGCUGAUAGUUUUCACCACAACCAAUUACAUCAUGGAUUCUUUUCCGGUUAGGUUCAGAAUUGAUCACUUGUGGAAAAGAAAAAAUUCAUACUUCUGACUCACUAUAUACUAAGAGAAAUCCACAAAUUCUUAAUAAAUGAUUUUAAGGG